GUCUUUAAGGUAAUAUUUAAAGUCUGGUCUGCUCACUGAAAUUUAAAGAGCCGCAGUAUUUUGACUGUGCAAAGGUAGCAUAAUCAAUAGUUUUUUAAUUGAAAACUGGAAUGAAAGAUUGAAUGAUAAAUUAACUUUCUUAAUUUUAAAAAUUGAAUUUAAAUUUUAAGUUAAAAUUCUUAAAUAUAUUUAAAAGACGAGAAGACCCUAUAGAUUUUUAUUAAUUAAAAUAGUUAAUAUAAAUAAUUAUAAAAUUAAUUUAAUUGGGGUGAUUUUGUAAUAUAAUUAACUUAAACUUAUAAAACCAUAAAUAAUUGAAUAUUUUGAUCUAAAAUUUUUAAAUAAUUGAUUAAAUUACCUUAGGGAUAACAGCGUAAUAUUAUUUAAGAGUUCAUAUCUAUAAUAAUGUUUGCGACCUCGAUGUUGAAUUAAGAAUUAUAUUGGAGUAGAAAUUAAUAAUAAUUAGUCUGUUCGACUAUUAAAUUCU
This 487-nucleotide ribosomal RNA is filed under the name Kolbia fusconervosa. RNAcentral's name for it is "partial 16S ribosomal RNA". The record is from RNAcentral. Lineage: Eukaryota; Metazoa; Arthropoda; Insecta; Psocodea; Amphipsocidae.